UCUCUUCCUUUUCCGGACAAUGAAGAGCCAAUAACUCCAAGAGCUAAUGGAAGUCCAUUACAAUGAUGUACUAUUCUCCAAGAGUCAUCUACAAAAACAUCAACAGGGUCAGCUUGUCCAAAGGCAUUCCAACUGAAAAGCUCAAGGCCCCGUUUGUUUGCAGGAAAGUAGUUUCCUUUUGGAAAGUGAAUUCCGGGGAAAGUGAAUUCCGGGAAAGUAAAUUCCGGGAAAGUAUUUUCCGAUAUUUGGUAGUGUAAUGGAAAAUAAGUUGGAAAAUAUUUUCCAGUGUUUGGUUAUGUUAUGGAAAAUGAGCUGGAAAAUAACUUAUUAAUGUUUUAUUUUUUCAAGUUUAUUAAAAUAAUAAGGAACAAAUCUUACAAAUUAAAAAGUUGAAUGAGAAUUAAAUUGAAAAAAAAUAUAAUUUCAUAAAUUAUCUCAAAUAAAAUAAAUAAUAAUCAAAAUAAUAGAGAUCAAAUCUAAAAAAUUAAAAAAAAUAAAAGGUGAAGAAAUUAAAAUAAUAAUAAUUAACAUUUCAUAAAUUAUUUCAAAUAAAAUAAGUAAAAAUCAAAAGAAUGAGGACCAAAUUUGAUAGAUAAAAAAUUUCAAUAAAAAAAUGAUAAGGAAAAAGCAAAUAGCAAUUAUAAAAAUAAGGACCAAAAUUAAUAUAAAAAUUAAAUUUUAAGAGAUGAAAUUGAAAAAUAAAUAUUCAAAACAAAUUAUAUAUAGCAAUCAAAAGUUUGAGGAUCAAAUUUGAUAUAAUCAACAAAUAAUGACAUUUCUAAAUUUUUCACAACUUCCGGAAAGUGUUUUCCGCCCAAAUUUUUCAGGAAAACACUUUCCUGAAAACCAAGCCAAAUUUUCCUUUGACUGGAAAGUGUUUUCCGUUGACCAACUUUUCCAAUGGCAAAUAAACACAGGAAAGUUUGGAAAGUGGUUUCCCGGAAACCACUUUCCGGAAAACAAACACAGCCAAAAAGAAAAAUACUUUCCUAGAAAUCAAACCAAAUUUUUCUUUGACUGGAAAGUGUUUUCCGUUGACUGAAAAGUGUUUCCGUUGACGGAAAGUGUUUUCCGUUGACCAACUUUUCUAAUGGCAAACAAACACAGGAAAGUUUGGAAAAUGGUUUCCCGGAAAAUGAAUUCCGGGAAACAAACAUGGCCCAAGUGAUUUUUCAUCAUCUAGCAGUUCAACUUUGUACCGGACCCACUCAAUAUCAUUAGCUGAAAACAAACCCUUAUUUCUGGUUGUUACAAUGAUCUUACUUCCUUUACAAAGCCAAUUUUGCAUGUCAACAAUUGCAUUGACA
RNAcentral lists this long non-coding RNA (1307 nucleotides) under Populus trichocarpa (black cottonwood). RNAcentral's name for it is "long non-coding RNA (PTRI_LNC000357)". The record is from RNAcentral. Lineage: Eukaryota; Viridiplantae; Streptophyta; Magnoliopsida; Malpighiales; Salicaceae.